UACGUAGGGUGCAAGCGUUGUCCGGAAUUAUUGGGCGUAAAGAGCUCGUAGGCGGUCUGUCGCGUCUGCUGUGAAAAUCCAGGGCUCAACCCUGGACCUGCAGUGGGUACGGGCAGACUAGAGUGCGGUAGGGGAGAUCGGAAUUCCUGGUGUAGCGGUGGAAUGCGCAGAUAUCAGGAGGAACACCGAUGGCGAAGGCAGAUCUCUGGGCCGUAACUGACGCUGAGGAGCGAAAGCGUGGGGAGCGAACAGG
RNAcentral lists this ribosomal RNA (253 nucleotides) under uncultured bacterium. Its description in RNAcentral is "partial 16S ribosomal RNA". It matches the Rfam family "Bacterial small subunit ribosomal RNA", at positions 524 to 776 of the family's 1533-position model. The record is from RNAcentral.